This 408-nucleotide ribosomal RNA is filed under the name uncultured bacterium. Its description in RNAcentral is "partial 16S ribosomal RNA". It matches the Rfam family "Bacterial small subunit ribosomal RNA", at positions 28 to 526 of the family's 1533-position model. The record is from RNAcentral.
GACGAACGCUGGCGGCGUGCUUAACACAUGCAAGUCUAACGAAGUGGCGAACGGGUGAGUAACGCGUAAUCAACCUGCCCUUCAGAGGGGUACAACAGUUGGAAACGACUGCUCAUACCGCAUACUGCAGUCGGGGAUUGCGUCUGAUUAGCUAGUUGGCGGGGUAACGGCCCACCAAGGCGAUGAUCAGUAGCCGGGCUGGGAGGAUGAACGGCCACAUUGGGACUGAGACACGGCCCAGACUCCUACGGGAGGCAGCAGUGGGGAAUCUUCCGCAAUGGACGAAAGUCUGACGGAGCAACGCCGCGUGAGUGAUGACGGCCUUCGGGUUGUAAAGCUCUGUUAAUCGGGACGCGGUACCGGAAUAGAAAGCCACGGCUAACUACGUGCCAGCAGCCGCGGUAAUAC